AGUAAUUACAUUGAAAAUCCCAGUCAAAAAGCACAUCACUUGCUCUAUAAAAAACAGUGUAAUCACAGUUCAAUUUAACUACAAAGAUACACUGGAAAUACAGUUUAAUAACUCUGAAAUUUCACUUAAAUGCCCAAUGUAAUUACAUUGAAAAUUCACAGUAAUUACAUACAGUGUGUUACUCUGAAUAUCCACUGAAAAAAUUACAUACACUGUAAUUACUCUGAAUAUACACUGUAAUUACACUGAAAAAACAUUGUACUUACACUGUAAUUACUCUAAAUAUACACUGUAAUUACACUGAAAAAACAUUGUACUUACAUUGUAAAAGACUAUGUAAUUGCAGUUCAAUUUGACUGCAAAAAAUACAACGGAAUACAGUAUAAUAUCUCUGAAAAUCCUCUUAAAUGCCCAUUGUAGUUAGACUAAGAAAUCAC
RNAcentral lists this long non-coding RNA (437 nucleotides) under Triticum aestivum (bread wheat). RNAcentral's name for it is "long non-coding RNA (TAES_LNC018666)". The record is from RNAcentral. Lineage: Eukaryota; Viridiplantae; Streptophyta; Magnoliopsida; Poales; Poaceae.